This 987-nucleotide ribosomal RNA is filed under the name Alcaligenes faecalis. RNAcentral's name for it is "bacterial SSU rRNA". It matches the Rfam family "Bacterial small subunit ribosomal RNA", at positions 535 to 1533 of the family's 1533-position model. The record is from RNAcentral. Lineage: Bacteria; Pseudomonadati; Pseudomonadota; Betaproteobacteria; Burkholderiales; Alcaligenaceae.
GAGGUACGUAUCGGAUACUGGGCGUAAGCGUGUGUAGGCGGUUCGGAAAGAAAGAUGUGAAAUCCCAGGGCUCAACCUUGGAACUGCAUUUUUAACUGCCGAGCUAGAGUAUGUCAGAGGGGGGUAGAAUUCCACGUGUAGCAGUGAAAUGCGUAGAUAUGUGGAGGAAUACCGAUGGCGAAGGCAGCCCCCUGGGAUAAUACUGACGCUCAGACACGAAAGCGUGGGGAGCAAACAGGAUUAGAUACCCUGGUAGUCCACGCCCUAAACGAUGUCAACUAGCUGUUGGGGCCGUUAGGCCUUAGUAGCGCAGCUAACGCGUGAAGUUGACCGCCUGGGGAGUACGGUCGCAAGAUUAAAACUCAAAGGAAUUGACGGGGACCCGCACAAGCGGUGGAUGAUGUGGAUUAAUUCGAUGCAACGCGAAAAACCUUACCUACCCUUGACAUGUCUGGAAAGCCGAAGAGAUUUGGCCGUGCUCGCAAGAGAACCGGAACACAGGUGCUGCAUGGCUGUCGUCAGCUCGUGUCGUGAGAUGUUGGGUUAAGUCCCGCAACGAGCGCAACCCUUGUCAUUAGUUGCUACGCAAGAGCACUCUAAUGAGACUGCCGGUGACAAACCGGAGGAAGGUGGGGAUGACGUCAAGUCCUCAUGGCCCUUAUGGGUAGGGCUUCACACGUCAUACAAUGGUCGGGACAGAGGGUCGCCAACCCGCGAGGGGGAGCCAAUCUCAGAAACCCGAUCGUAGUCCGGAUCGCAGUCUGCAACUCGACUGCGUGAAGUCGGAAUCGCUAGUAAUCGCGGAUCAGAAUGUCGCGGUGAAUACGUUCCCGGGUCUUGUACACACCGCCCGUCACACCAUGGGGAGUGGGUUUCACCAGAAGUAGGUAGCCUAACCGUAAGGAGGGCGCUUACCACGGUGGGAUCAUGAUGGGGGAUCAAAAAAAACCCCGCGCGCGCGCGCACCAAAAAGGGGGGGGAAAUACG